Molecule: non-coding RNA, 1059 nt
Organism: Coturnix japonica (Japanese quail)
Lineage: Eukaryota; Metazoa; Chordata; Aves; Galliformes; Phasianidae
Source: RefSeq, a predicted model, not a curated record
AUCCAACCUACACACAGCUCCACAUGCAUGCCGCUGAUGAGAGGAAACCCCUACCAACUGCCCAAUUGCCUUGUGGUGUCUUAAUAAGCUGCAGUAUAAUUUAAUUAAAGACAAUUAGAUACUGAAGUGCGAUCUUAAAUCAGACACGAGUUGAAUGAGGUUAAGCGCAAACUAAAAGCUGGGAAGAAGGAUUAACCUAUUUAGCAUAAGAAGUCCAUCAGAAUUCAUAAGAAUAAACCAGUGGCUGCAACCAGCAACAGCUAAAUGAGGUAAUGAGGUGACAGUUAUUGACCACUAAUGACUGAAUAUUAGCGUAAGAUUAUUUCAUCAUCACUGCUAUGCCACUUGCAUGAUAAUACAACUGAAAUGCAAUGUUUCAGCCCUUGGAGUCUGUUGAGAAAAUACAAAGCCCAGAAGCACCGUUUUCCUCUUGAGAGGCAUAGAGCUGUCUCCUGGCUUUCACUUGAAGCGUAAAGUGCUCAAUUGAGUGCACACAUAAUGAUUCACUAUUGACAUUGUUAUCGCAAUGAAGUCUAGAUAAUGAAGAUCAGGAGUGCAGUAAUAGGAGUUGACAGUUCCAGAGUUUGCUGGGAGUGUUAAUCUUUUGAAAAACUUCUGACUGAAAGUUUCUAUGGGCUGAAGGAGGGAACAUCUGAGAAAAGGAAACAGCAACCAAAAACAACGUAAGGGAAAUGAGUGCAGGAAGAUGCCAGAACAAUUGGAGUGCUUAUGCUUGGAAGGAAAGAGGACUGCACUGAUAGAAGCUCAUAUCCAAAAUCUGAGGAAUUUCAUUCAUCUUCUCAUCACUAAUUAUAAGGAUCAGAAAAAUACAUUUCUCCAUCAUGGCUUGAUCUAGAGAAUAUCUGGACUUCACAAAUAAGGCAGCAAUACCAGUAUGUUGUAACUAAAGUAUUCCUACGUCAAAUGCGUGUUACCAGCAGUGCUUUUUCCAUCUCACAGGAUAUUUUUGUUUAAAAAAAUAAUUUUCAGCACAGAAGUGAUUUCCUUUUUUACACCUCUCUAAAAUCCUAUUUUGCUUCUCAGUCAGCUCUGGAGAAU